This 832-nucleotide ribosomal RNA is filed under the name uncultured Acinetobacter sp. RNAcentral describes it as "SSU rRNA". It matches the Rfam family "Bacterial small subunit ribosomal RNA", at positions 566 to 1398 of the family's 1533-position model. Lineage: Bacteria; Pseudomonadati; Pseudomonadota; Gammaproteobacteria; Moraxellales; Moraxellaceae. The record is from RNAcentral.
CGCGCGUAGGUGGUUAAUUAAGUCAAAUGUGAAAUCCCCGAGCUUAACUUGGGAAUUGCAUUCGAUACUGGUUAGCUAGAGUAUGGGAGAGGAUGGUAGAAUUCCAGGUGUAGCGGUGAAAUGCGUAGAGAUCUGGAGGAAUACCGAUGGCGAAGGCAGCCAUCUGGCCUAAUACUGACACUGAGGUGCGAAAGCAUGGGGAGCAAACAGGAUUAGAUACCCUGGUAGUCCAUGCCGUAAACGAUGUCUACUAGCCGUUGGGGGAUUUGAUCCUUUAGUGGCGCAGCUAACGCGAUAAGUAGACCGCCUGGGGAGUACGGUCGCAAGACUAAAACUCAAAUGAAUUGACGGGGGCCCGCACAAGCGGUGGAGCAUGUGGUUUAAUUCGAUGCAACGCGAAGAACCUUACCUGGCCUUGACAUAGUAGAGACUUUCCAGAGAUGGAUUGGUGCCUUCGGGAAUCUACAUACAGGUGCUGCAUGGCUGUCGUCAGCUCGUGUCGUGAGAUGUUGGGUUAAGUCCCGCAACGAGCGCAACCCUUUUCCUUACUUGCCAGCAUUUCGGAUGGGAACUUUAAGGAUACUGCCAGUGACAAACUGGAGGAAGGCGGGGACGACGUCAAGUCAUCAUGGCCCUUACGGCCAGGGCUACACACGUGCUACAAUGGUCGGUACAAAGGGUUGCUACACAGCGAUGUGAUGCUAAUCUCAAAAAGCCGAUCGUAGUCCGGAUCGCAGUCUGCAACUCGACUGCGUGAAGUCGGAAUCGCUAGUAAUCGCGGAUCAGAAUGCCGCGGUGAAUACGUUCCCGGGCCUUGCACACACCGCCCGUC